UCUAUACAUAUAUUAAAGCAUAGAUUUCUGGGGGAAUGUGUUUCCCGCCAUUGCACACAUCAAAUUUUCCAGAGGGUAAUUUUGUUUGUUUUAUCUGCUGAACAUUGCUAAGAUGUGCAAUUUUGGCUCCAAUAAUUGGAGCCUAAAUUCAAAUUCAAAAUUCAAAUUCACCAUAUCUUGGAGCCAAUUUACUAUGAAUUUAGUCUAUAAAUACCAGAUAAUUUGGAAACUACACCACAAAGUCUGGAAAAGUUCUUCUCUAUGUAAACUUUUUCUCGAGCUUACUUGUGCGGACUGGCUAGGCGAAGGCGCCGAGGUCGGAGAAGGCGAGGCGACGACAAAUGCUGAGCUUGCGCACUGAGACGGAGCGGGGCAAGGUAGAUGCAGGCUGCUGCUGAGGAGUUUCCGAGGUGAAGCCAAAUGGGCGACGACAACAAGAGGAGGCGGACGACGACCGGCGGAAGACUUAGAGAGGUUGCUGACGAGACAGAGAAUGAGAGUGAAAGCAUAGGGAAUUCAGAGGUGAGUGCAGCGCAAAUGAGUUUGCAAUUUUUGGAGAAGGAAGAGAGUAGAUCUGAAAAUUUCGAAAGAGGUUGGAAUUGGGUGAGAGAUUGAAAGGUUUGGAUCUGGGAAGGUAAGGUUGGGAUUGGGAGUUUAAGAUCUGGUAAGGGUUUGCGGGGGGUGGUGUUAGGGUUGAGUUUGGGGAGAACACUCUAGAAUUCCUAGGUUGAAUGCGGCGCAUGGAACCCUAGAACUGAAGAUGGCUCUUUUUAUAUGACUCUGUAUUUAUUGCAGAAUUGCUUAGUUGUUGAUGAUUAAUUGAUGGUGUAUCAGUGCAUGAGGUAUAUAAAAAAAUGUUGUUGGGCUGGAAUUUUUAUUAUUGCAGCUAAAAUAUUGUAGUUGGCCUGUAAAAUGAUAGUGUUUUGGGCUUGGUUUUUUUGUGGUACAUAAUAAAUUUGGUGUGAAAGCAUAUACUUCAAAUAUUUAUUGGAUUCAGCGAAAAUUAUUGUAUUGGGCUUUUA
Long non-coding RNA from Salvia miltiorrhiza (redroot sage), 1022 nucleotides. RefSeq lists it as uncharacterized. Lineage: Eukaryota; Viridiplantae; Streptophyta; Magnoliopsida; Lamiales; Lamiaceae. The transcript has 2 exons. The record is from RefSeq and is a predicted model, not a curated record.